GCGAUGAUAUCUUCAGUUUUCUUUUACAAUUGUUGGGAUUGGGUUCGCAGCUGUCUCUCGACUGAAUUGUGAUCAGAUCCGUUGAAAUUCGUCUCGUUAUAUUAAUCAGAAUUUUAAUCGAUGGAGAACGACGAUCUCCGUUAAAUUCCCUGGCCUUUUCUUGACAAAGGAGGUCUUCCUGAUUGUAAACUUCAUACGCGAAUCGACGUCGCAAUCGCCGUGGUGCGAUCAAAAGAAAAUGGCCGCCGCCGCGGCAGCCGCACUGCUCGACGAGCUCAUGGGCAGAAACAGAAACGUCCUGCCUAAUGAGAAACCCAAAGAGCUUAAUUGGGAGGAUCCUGAGUUUUGCAAAUUAUAUCUGGUGAAAUUCUGUCCUCAUGACCUAUUCGUUAAUACAAGAGCGGACUUGGGUGCAUGUCCUAAGGUACACGAUGAUGAGGCUAGGGAACUAUUUGAAAAGGCGCCACAUUCUUAUCGUAAACAGCAAUAUGAAGAUGAGUUUAUCAGGUAUUGUCAAAGUAUGUUAAAUGAAGUGGAGAGAAAAAUCAUAAAGGGAAAACAACGGUUGGCACUAAUUGGGAGAACAGAAGCGCCGACGUUGACUCCAGCCCAGACUCAAAGAAAUGAGGAGCAGAUUGCUCUAUUGACGGAGAAGAUAAAUAAGUUGGUAGAAGAGGCUGAACAAAGUGGAAUUCAAGGCAAUGUAGAGCAAGCACAGGGCCUAAUGCGUCUUUGUGACCAGUUAAAAGAAGAACGCGAGACUUUGAGGAAGUCCAAUGAUAAUAGUCAUUACAACCAAACUGCUGAAUUAGCAGCUGCGCAAGAGAAACAAAUGGAGGUGUGCGAUGUGUGCGGCGCGUUUCUUAUCGUAGGAGAUGCUCAGCAGCGAAUUGAUGAUCAUCUGAUGGGAAAACAGCAUGUGGGCUAUGCGAGACUGAAAAGCGCUCUUCAAGAAAUUAUGAGCAAGCGCGAAAAGGCGCGCGAUGAGAAAGAACAGAGGAGAGAGGAAGAACGAAAGCAAAGAGCGCGAGCAAAUGAAGAGCUCGAUAGGCGGCGGAGAGAUGGCGACAGGGAUAGAGAUCGCGAUAGAGACAGAGAUAAACGUCGUAGGCGAAUAGAUGAUGAUAAAAGCCGUUAUGAUUCGAGCGGUUAUAGAAAUUCUGGGCAUAGAAGUAGAAGUAGAUCGCGAGACAAACACCACCGGGACGAAGAUAGUCACCGACGUCACGGUCGAGAUAAAGGAAAUCGCGAUCAUCGAAGCUCCAGCCAUCAUACCCGUCGCCGUCAUCGCUCGCGAAGUCGAAGUCACAAGUAACUUCUCUUGAUUGGUUAGUGAGUGAGAAGUAAUCCAGGAGAAGCCCGCGGAGUUCCGUGGAAUCGUGGAUGCGCGCUUUCAAGAUGAAUCGAAUGAAUGUGAAUAAAUGCAAUCAGGUUGAAAUUUAUUCAAUAUAACAUAAAUUCAUGUUUAUUUAAAAAUAAAAUGAAUUGUUUCUAUAAAAAUACAGCGUUUUUCUCUUUAAUAUAAGUGAUCUUAUCGCGCUUUGUUUUCAAAUAAUCGAAUUUGAAUUGAAUUUUAUUUUUCAAGAAUUUAUCUUGUUCUUUCAUAUAAUUUAUAAGAAGUUAUCGUACUUCAUUAUGAUGAUGUAAAUAAAAGAAAAGGAGAUCAUCUCUAAAGCCGAUGGUUUUGGACUUAUUUCUUUUCGCUUCUCGGGCACAGGACUAUCUCUGUAGGUUCGUUAAAAAUCUUGGUCAUACUUCAUUAAGAGAGAGAAAGAGAGAGAGAGAGAGAAAGAUUUAGUGGUUUAGUGUGGAGGGGACACAGCUCUCAGUGCCCGCUUCAUAGAGCUUCGUCCACGACUGCAAAUGCACGUGUGCACAACUACGAGUGCGCCCUGCAAACGUGUGACUGUGACUAUACGAACCUCUAGCUUCUGCCACGCAAUUGACGAGGAAGAAGAGAAGAACAAAGAAGGGACUUCUCGAGAACUCAUCCAAUACAUCGUUUACCAUAUUGUUAAGGUAAAGAUUUUGUAUAAUCUUAACAAUGAUAAGAGUGUGUGAAAGAGAGAGGAGGAGAGACGAAGAUAAAAUUUGCGUCGAAAUCACAGACACACAAAAUCGAUACAAUUCGUGUUCCGAACAUUGUUAUUUUAGGCCACCUAUACAUAAAUAAAAUGCAAGGUAAAUUGUGUAAGAUACAAUUUGCUGUGUGCCGCGCUAAUAAUAAUACUCGUAAGAUUGUUAUUUGAAAUUAAUAAAAGAAUGCUACAUA
Molecule: unclassified non-coding RNA, 2272 nt
Filed under: Pogonomyrmex barbatus (red harvester ant)
Lineage: Eukaryota; Metazoa; Arthropoda; Insecta; Hymenoptera; Formicidae
Description: luc7-like protein 3, transcript variant X4
Source: RNAcentral